This 358-nucleotide unclassified non-coding RNA is filed under the name plant metagenome. RNAcentral describes it as "partial contains 5.8S ribosomal RNA, internal transcribed spacer 2, and large subunit ribosomal RNA". The stretch from base 1 to 106 matches the Rfam family "5.8S ribosomal RNA", at positions 49 to 154 of the family's 154-position model. The record is from RNAcentral.
CGAAAUGCGAUAAGUAGUGUGAAUUGCAGAGUUUUGUGAAUCAUCGAAUCUUUGAACGCACAUUGCGCCCCUCGGUAUUCCGACGGGCAUGCCUGUCCGAGCGUCGUUGCAGCACCAUCGAGUGACAUCUCGGUCUUGGGUGCCGUCACCCCGGGGAUCACCCCCCGGCGACGCGCCUCAAAGCCCUCGGCGGCCCCGGGCGUCCGUCGGAGCGUUUUGGAAGACGACCGCUCCGCGCGAGGCGCGCCGGGGGUUCCGGCCCCGAACGGCGGGCGGCGAGUAACACCGCGCGCACGCCAACACAACGCGAGAAGAGGUUUGACCUCGGAUCAGGUAGGGAUACCCGCUGAACUUAAGC